This 468-nucleotide ribosomal RNA is filed under the name uncultured bacterium. Its description in RNAcentral is "partial 16S ribosomal RNA". It matches the Rfam family "Bacterial small subunit ribosomal RNA", at positions 28 to 507 of the family's 1533-position model. The record is from RNAcentral.
GACGAACGCUGGCGGCGUGCUUAACACAUGCAAGUCGAACGGACAGGCCCUGCUUUUGUGGGGUGCUCGAGUGGCGAACGGGUGAGUAACACGUGAGUAACCUGCCCUUGACUUUGGGAUAACUUCAGGAAACUGGGGCUAAUACCGGAUAUGAGCUCCUGCUGCAUGGUGGGGGUUGGAAAGUUUCGGCGGUUGGGGAUGGACUCGCGGCUUAUCAGCUUGUUGGUGGGGUAGUGGCUUACCAAGGCUUUGACGGGUAGCCGGCCUGAGAGGGUGACCGGCCACAUGGGGACUGAGAGACGGCCCAGACUCCUAAGGGAGGCAGCAGGGGGGAAUAUUGCACAAUGGGCGGAAGCCUGAUGCAGAAACGCCGCGUGCGGGAUGACGGCCUUCGGGUGGUAAACCGCUGUCGACUGUGACGAAGCGUGAGUGACGGUAAUGGGUAAAGAAGCACCGGCUAACUACGUG